RNAcentral lists this long non-coding RNA (505 nucleotides) under Nicotiana benthamiana. RNAcentral describes it as "long non-coding RNA (NBEN_LNC018032)". Lineage: Eukaryota; Viridiplantae; Streptophyta; Magnoliopsida; Solanales; Solanaceae. The record is from RNAcentral.
CCUCUGUUUAGUCCUGGGUAAGUUGUUCUCGGAAUCGUAGUCUUGGUCGUAAUAGUAUCUCUUAGAUCUUGAUCUGUCCAUGUCUGUUUAGGGUUUCAAAUCAAAUCUGGAAGUGAAAUUCCACUGAGUUGCUGCCAGUUUUAGGGUUUUAUUGAGAAUCGUUUACUGUUUUGCUGUAAUUUGUUCGUUUUAGGGUUUCAAUAUCAAAUCUGGAAGUGAAAUUAAGGUAUUAGAGUAGUGUUAGGGUUUUUCUUGAGAAUCGUGUAAUGUUUUGCUACAAUCUGUACAAAACCCUAGAGGAGGGGAGAAAGGGAAACUGAGUUGAGUAGAGCCAGUUAUAAUGAGGAAAAUGUACAUAAUAACGAAGCUUCAGCUUAUGCUCCUCCAUCUGCUGUUGUUCAUCAUUUUUAACUUUAAUGCUUUUGUAGAUUCAAUUUUUGUUUGCUUUACUUUCUCCAUUAGUGUGAGCAGCUGCUGCUGCAUUUUAUAAUCGUGAUUCCCAACC